UACGUAGGGGGCAAGCGUUGUCCGGAUUUAUUGGGCGUAAAGAGCGUGUAGGCGGUUAGGUAGGUCCGUUGUGAAAACUCGAGGCUCAACCUCGAGACGCCGAUGGAAACCAUCUGACUAGAGUCCGGAAGAGGAGACUGGAAUUCCUGGUGUAGCGGUGAAAUGCGCAGAUAUCGAGGAGGAACACCGGUGCGAAGGCGGGUCUCUGGGCAGUAACUGACGCUGAGGAACGAAAGCGUGGGAGCAACAGG
This 251-nucleotide ribosomal RNA is filed under the name uncultured bacterium. RNAcentral describes it as "partial 16S ribosomal RNA". It matches the Rfam family "Bacterial small subunit ribosomal RNA", at positions 524 to 776 of the family's 1533-position model. The record is from RNAcentral.